Molecule: long non-coding RNA, 468 nt
Filed under: Bos taurus (domestic cattle)
Lineage: Eukaryota; Metazoa; Chordata; Mammalia; Artiodactyla; Bovidae
Description: long non-coding RNA NONBTAT010757
Source: RNAcentral
GCUUUAACUGAGAAUAAUAUACAAGGCAGUGAAUUUUCACGUAUCUGAAGUUUGGUAUGAGAAUUUGACUAUGUUUGUUUGUUUUUUUAACUUUGAAGAAUGAACCUAAAAUAUGUGUGUUGACUUGGGCUUGGCUUUUGUCUUACUAACAAAUAUCAAAAUGAAUUUGAAUACAGAUAGCCAUGACAAAGAGGUCUGUGUACUUGAACGCUGAAUCUUUGUAUUUGUCUUCUCCAUGUCUGCAACGUCAACUCCAAACACAAUGUCAGACUUUUAUCUUUUGCUUAAGUCAUGCUCUGAGCUGCAUGCUGUCACAGGCAAAUCAUCUGCCUUGCCAUUGCCGCCUCUUGGAACUGAAAAUUAAAGAAUUCCAACCUGAAGAUGCCUAGAGGAAAAAUUGGAGUCCCUGCCAUGAGUAACUUUGCUUAUGAAAGCUAAAGUGAAUAUUUGAAAGCCAAUAGUUGGGAC